RNAcentral lists this ribosomal RNA (301 nucleotides) under uncultured bacterium. RNAcentral's name for it is "partial 16S ribosomal RNA". It matches the Rfam family "Bacterial small subunit ribosomal RNA", at positions 509 to 807 of the family's 1533-position model. The record is from RNAcentral.
CAGCAGCCACGGUAAUACGGAGGGAGCUAGCGUUGUUCGGAAUUACUGGGCGUAAAGCGCACGUAGGCGGCUUUGUAAGUUAGAGGUGAAAGCCUGGAGCUCAACUCCAGAAUUGCCUUUAAGACUGCAUCGCUUGAAUCCAGGAGAGGUGAGUGGAAUUCCGAGUGUAGAGGUGAAAUUCGUAGAUAUUCGGAAGAACACCAGUGGCGAAGGCGGCUCACUGGACUGGUAUUGACGCUGAGGUGCGAAAGCGUGGGGAGCAAACAGGAUUAGAUACCCGCGUAGUCCCUGUCUCUUAUAC